UAGGGUGUGCCUCGCACUGGUUCGGCCGCCCCCGCCAUGGGCGGCCGUCGUAAGAGGGAAUCCGGUGGAAGGCCGGGACUGCCCCGCAGCGGUAAGUGGGCGCGACCACCGUCAGGUGCGCUGGGCGCGAGAAGCGCCUGGGAAACGCGACGGCCAGUAGGUCCGUCGGGCGUAGAGCGAUGCCGACGGGAGCCCGCGAGUCCGAAGACCUGCCAGUGUGCCGCGCGUGCCC
RNAcentral lists this non-coding RNA (232 nucleotides) under Frankia canadensis. Lineage: Bacteria; Bacillati; Actinomycetota; Actinomycetes; Frankiales; Frankiaceae. The record is from RNAcentral.